Molecule: ribosomal RNA, 635 nt
Filed under: uncultured Marinobacter sp.
Lineage: Bacteria; Pseudomonadati; Pseudomonadota; Gammaproteobacteria; Pseudomonadales; Marinobacteraceae
Description: bacterial SSU rRNA
Rfam family: Bacterial small subunit ribosomal RNA
Source: RNAcentral
CGGCUGGGGAGUGCGGCCGCAAGGUUAAAACUCAAAUGAAUUGACGGGGGCCCGCACAAGCGGUGGAGCAUGUGGUUUAAUUCGACGCAACGCGAAGAACCUUUACCUGGCCUUGACAUGCAGAGAACUUUCCAGAGAUGGAUUGGUGCCUUCGGGAACUCUGACACAGGUGCUGCAUGGCCGUCGUCAGCUCGUGUCGUGAGAUGUUGGGUUAAGUCCCGUAACGAGCGCAACCCCUAUCCCUAGUUGCUAGCAGUUCGGCUGAGAACUCUAGGGAGACUGCCGGUGACAAACCGGAGGAAGGUGGGGAUGACGUCAGGUCAUCAUGGCCCUUACGGCCAGGGCUACACACGUGCUACAAUGGUGCGCACAGAGGGCUGCAAACCCGCGAGGGGGAGCCAAUCUCACAAAACGCAUCGUAGUCCGGAUCGCAGUCUGCAACUCGACUGCGUGAAGUCGGAAUCGCUAGUAAUCGUGAAUCAGAAUGUCACGGUGAAUACGUUCCCGGGCCUUGUACACACCGCCCGUCACACCAUGGGAGUGGAUUGCACCAGAAGUGGUUAGUCUAACCUUCGGGAGGACGAUCACCACGGUGUGGUUCAUGACUGGGGUGAAGUCGUAACAAGGUAACCGUA